UAUUUUGGACCUCAGCUGGACAACGACAGAGAAUACCAGAAAGGCUUCUCUGGGGGACUUUCUCCACCAGGAGCAGUUUGAACUGAGGGAAGUCAGCUGAACUGGGUCUCCUCUGAAUGAACUCUGCUCAUGGGUGAGGUGGAGGAAGGAUGAAGGAAGGCUCCUAGGUACCAGGACCAGACCACAGCCCCUCAGAAGGAGCCCUGCCACGGAGCGCAGGUAUGGCAAAAGAAAUAAAGGAAUGAGUUUGGAAUAGACGCAAGGUGCUACAGCAAUAAGAAGGCAGCAUGGUGGAGCAGGGGCGCACCUGGAGACACUGAGUCUGAGCUUGUGUCCCAGUCUCAUCACUUCCCAGCCGCGAUAACUUGGACCAAUAACUGAGCUUAGCUGCACCUCACUUUCCUCAGUGGUGUCCUUUGCCCUGGGGUCUUCUCUGGAGCCCGCACAGUGGACUGAAUGCAGGAAGAGAAGCUGGCAUAUUACUGAGGGAAGAUAAACUGAAAGCCUCAUGGAUAUCUCCUCCUGGGUCAGCAAAAAGAAGCAGCCUAGACCAAGCAGAUUGGGGAAGGGGGUGAUGACUGCCCUGGGUGCCCAUGUUGUGCUGAAGAGAAAACUUGGAUCCCAAACCCUCCAAGUCUUUCACUCAAGUAUGCCUGACCAGCUUCACAUUCUGGUGGGGAUUUUUUUUUUCCAUGAACAUAUGGAUUGUGUUAGUGUUUAGGAGGCAGUGCAGUCAGAAAAGAAAAAGAGAAAACAAAGAAGAAAACAAAGUUAAGGUUUAGUACUUUUUAUUAUGUCAAGGCCAAGUUCCAUUUUUUGUGUAUUCUAUUAACACACUGUCUCUGGUUAUUUAAGAAUAAUUUUUUAAAGAUAAAUAAAUAAAUAAGC
Molecule: long non-coding RNA, 888 nt
Filed under: Equus caballus (horse)
Lineage: Eukaryota; Metazoa; Chordata; Mammalia; Perissodactyla; Equidae
Description: lncRNA (ENSECAG00000052286.1)
Source: RNAcentral